CAAUUUUAAAAAAAAAUUGGUAAAAUAAAUUUGUAAAUAAAUAUUGAAGAAAAAAGAAAGUAAAAUAAUAUUUUAACAAAUUAAUAUUUAUUAAUAUAUAUAUUAAUAUUUAAAUUAAUAUUUUACCAAUUAUUUUUUUUUAUAUGGAAAAUAUCGUUAAAUAUUAAUGUUUUAUUAUUGAGAUAAUUUUUAUCAAAAUGAAUAACAUUUAUUCGAAUCAUUUUGUAUAAUAAAAAUUUGGCAAUAUCUAAAAACUUUGAUAAAUUAUUAUGUAUGUUAUGAUUAUUAAACUAACUAUUUUAAAUAUAAAAGAAUAAGAAAAAUAUUUAAGAAGUAUUAAAAAGCUAAAAUAUAAUAAUACAUUUUGUUAAAUAUGAAAAUAAAAAAUAUAUAUUAUAUAAUAUUUUAUAGUGUAUAUAAUAAAAUAAAAUAAGAUAUAAUAAGAUAAGAUCUGUAAAAAUAAUAUAAAUACAUAGUUCAAGAAAAGUUUCUGAAGUUGAUUAUUGAAAUUUUAAACAAUAAAUAUGUUUAUUAGGUUGUUUUGAAAGAUUUUUUUUAGUAGAUUUUUAUAGAUAUUUUUCUAAAACCUUCAUGAUUUCAUUUUUCUAGAAUAGUAAUCGAAAUUGAUAGUAAUUUAUUAUUAGAUAUUUUAAUGAUUUUAUAUUAUAUAAUUUAUAUUUAUAUAAUUUAUAUGAUUUUAUAAAUGAUUUUAUCAUAUACAAAAUAUCUUAAUAUUAGAAUUCCAUUUGGCUGGAAUAAGCAAAAUGACUUUCAUAUUGUUAUUUGAGAAAAUAUACUGAUAGUAUCAUUAGAAGAACUUAAUUUUUUUAAGGAGAAUUAUUAAAUCAUCUAAUUAUUUCAUUUGAUGUGUAAUGUAAUUGUAAAAUAAUAAUCUGUAGUAUAUAUAGUAUAAUUUGUUAAUUAUUUAAUAUUUGGAAGUAUAUAGGUUUUUGAAAAAAAAUAUAUUUCUCAAAAUAAAAUAAUAAUAACUAUGCGUGCUAAUAACAAAAAGAAUAUUUGGGACAAGACAUUUUGGGAUAAUCUAAUAUGUUACAGUAUGUUCAAAAUAAUAUUAUUAUUACUAAUAUAUUAUUAAUACUAUUAUUAAUAAGAUAUAAGUAAUAUUAUUAUUAGCAAGAUAUCAAUAUUGUACACAGUAAUUUGAUAUUUGAAUAUCAUGAUUUAUAAGAGAUUAUUCUAUAUAUUUGUUUUUCGAUUAUUUUUAUAUAAUGAAUUGAACUAUCGAAUAUAUACAUAAAAAAAAAUUAAACUCUUUAAAACAUAAGAAAGGAAAUAUUAAAUAUUAAGUAUAGUAUUUAAUUUUUAUAAAAAUAAUUUUUAUAAAAAUUGCUAUUUAAAUAAAUUAAUAUAAAUUUGAUGAAUAUUUUUUUUUAAAUAAUUUUGACAUUAUUUUAUUUAUCCCUUAUUUAUUUCCGCUAACUAUAACGAAAUUACUAAAAAAAUUUAAUUAAAAUAAACAAAUAUAUGUGUAUAUAGAGAAAAUUUUCUUGUAAAUCGUGGUGUAUAAAUAUUAAUUCGAAUUAUAAAUUUCAAACCGUAAAAAUUUUUAAAUGAAAUUUUUAAAUAUUUAUAAAAAUUAAAGAAUAUUCGUUAUAUAUAUGUAAAAAAAGGUCACAAAAGUAAACGAAUGCUUAAAGAUGAGCUGUGUUUAUAUUGAAUUUAUACAAUACAUUUAGGAUCGAAGUUUUUACACUGAAUUUACACGAUAAAUGUUAGGAUCGAACUCAGUUCAUGCUAAGGCAUCGUUUAAUAAGUUUGGCGUGUUUAUAGUUAAUUUAGUUAACUAAUUAUUUAUAGUUAUAGAUUGAUCAGUUGCUAAUUAAAUUAUACUCAUACGUGAAAACAUAUACAAUAGAAAGAAAUGAAAUUUCUACUGUGCCAGUUUUUAACAAUAAUAUGAUUGUAUGUUGUUGAAGAAUUAUUAGCAUUUAUUGAAAAAUUGGUUAUGAGUUGCAAUGAUUGACGAAUUAUAAUAUACGAUAUAUAUAUAUAGUCAUAAUAUACGAUAAUGAUUGGAUGUUACGUUCAGCAUAUCAGACUAUUUUGAUAUGCUGAAUUAUUGGAUAUGAAAUUAUUGAAAUUUAUUGUAAUUCGAAUAGAUUCCAUGUCCAAUCGAUGAUUUAACAAAAAAUAUUGUUAUAAAAAGCCGAACACUAUCAGUAAGAAUUGAUCCUACAGGAUAGAUAAGAUGAUUGAUCAAAAAUUUUAAAAGAUUUAAAUUACUGAAUAAUGAAAAUUUUAUUGUGAAUAAUACCCCAAAAAUGACUGAUAAUACAAUGGAUUCAUAUCUACCUUAUUAUUGUGGAAGAAAUCAACUGUUGAAACUACUAAAAUAAUUUGUACGAUACUGGGAGAGAUUCUGUAUCUUGCAGAAAAAAUGAUACCAAAGAUUUAAAGCUGGAAACUUUAAUUUGGAAAACAACGAUCGUUCAGAUGCACCGAGAAAAUUUGAUGAUGGUGAAUUAGAGGAAUUGCUCAACGAAAAUUCGACUCAGACUUAAGAAGAAUUGGCAAAAAGAUUGAGAGUCAGGUAAGUCAGGUAUCUAUCCGACUAAAAUAAUUGAGAGAUCCUAAUCCGAUUAAAAUAAGAUUCAGAAGUUAAAGCGAUGAGUCUUACAUGAAUUAAGCGAAAUGAAUCAGAAAAACUCGAGAUUUCUACUGCCUUGCUUUCAUGGCAUAAAAGAAAAAGUUUUCUGCACAAAAUUGGCGAUGAAAAAUGGGUCAUAUAUGACAAUCCUAAACGAUGUAAAUCAUGGAUUAACCGGGGAACUGACUUCAAUGGCAAAUUUGCAUUGCAAAAAAGUUUUGCUGUCUAUAUGGUGGCAUUUCCGAGGAAUCAUCCAUUAUGAAUUGCUUUUACCUGGAAGAACAAUAAUUAUUGAAUAUUAUUAAAAUCAGUUAAUGAAUUUAUACAAAUAGCUACAGCAGAAAUAGCCAUUUAAUGGACAAGAAAUUAAGACACGUGAUUUUGUAGCAUGAUAAUGCUCAGCCACACUUUGCAAAAAGAACACGGGAUAUAAUUUAUGCGUUGUUCUGAAAUGGAAAGUCCUGCCAUAUGCGGCAUACUUUCCAGAAUGAAUCCCGCCAGAUUAUCUUUCUUUUAAUCUGCAAUUGUCGGAGAAGCAAUUCUAUUCAGAAGAAGAUAUCUGGAAAUAUAUUGAUGAAUUUAUAACCAAUAAGUAAUCGUCAAUUCUUCAGAUGGAAUUUAUAAUUUACUCAUCAGAUGAGAAAAGAUUAUAGAAAAUGAGGAUAAAUAUUUUGAGAUAUAAUUUUAUGCCAGAUUUGUAAUAAAAUUUUGAAUUUGGAAAAAAAAGGAAAAAACCUUAUUUGCACACCUAUUAAAAAAAAAAAAAAAAGAAUAAAAAAAAAAUAAUAUUAUAUAUAUACUGCAUUAUACACUCUCCACUUUCUUAUGGAGGUGUCAAUCAUUAUGUCACCUUAUUAAUUUUUAUUAAUUUUUUCGUUCGUUUUCGUCACAAAAUAACUGCAAAUAAAUAUAAAAUAUAAAACUUUUAAUUAAAUAUAAAAUUAUUUAAAAAAUUAAAAAUAUUUUACUAAAAAAAAUAUUUCUUUUAAUUCACCAUUAUCAAACUUUCUCGAUGCAUCUGAACAAUCGUCGUUUUCCAAUUAAAAUUUAUUAUGAAAUUAAAUCUUCAAAGUGUAAUAAGUAAAUUCCAAACACCGAAAUGCACAUGCCUGAAUUUAUGUACAUUUGAUUUUGCAAAAAACAAAUCUAUAUAAUGAAAUAAUUAAUCCUUUGAUUUUUCAUUCCAGUUGAUUUGAUUAAUAUUAUUAUAUUAUUUUCUUAUAUAUUUAUUUUCUAUAUUCUAAUAAUUAAAAUGAUUAUCUGUUGUAUAAAUUUUUUAUAUAAAAAAAUAAUAAUAUAAAAUAUACAAUAUAAUAUACAUAUAUUAUAUAAAAAAUAUAAUAUAUAAUGUAUAUAAAGUAUAAUAUACACAAACACGAAAUAGAAUUUAAAUAGAGAUUUAUUUUAUUGUUUAAAUUUUAUAAUUUUACAUGGAUAUUAUGUUUGAAUAUUUUAUUGCAUAUCUUUGCAUAUCGUAUAUAUUAUAUAGAUUUUUAUACAAAUUUUUUAAGUUUUGUACAAAUACGUUAAUAUUUACAAUUUACUUAUUAAUAAUUACUUAUUAAUGUAUUUAAUAAAUAUUUUUUGUUUUAUUUUCUCAAAAAAAUAUUGUUAUAUACUCAAAAAAAAAAUUUUUCCAGAAAUUAAAAUACAUAUUUCACAUAUUGUUAUGGUAUAGACAGAAAUUUAUAUAAAUAAAGAAAUGUCUGAAUUAAUAAAAA
This is a long non-coding RNA of Apis cerana (Asiatic honeybee), 4329 nucleotides long. RefSeq lists it as uncharacterized. NCBI's taxonomy places the organism in Eukaryota, Metazoa, Arthropoda, Insecta, Hymenoptera, Apidae. The record is from RefSeq and is a predicted model, not a curated record.